RNAcentral lists this ribosomal RNA (506 nucleotides) under uncultured bacterium. RNAcentral describes it as "partial 16S ribosomal RNA". It matches the Rfam family "Bacterial small subunit ribosomal RNA", at positions 28 to 523 of the family's 1533-position model. The record is from RNAcentral.
GAUGAACGCUAGCUACAGGCUUAACACAUGCAAGUCGAGGGGCAGCAUGGUCUUAGCUUGCUAAGGCCGAUGGCGACCGGCGCACGGAUGAGUAACACGUAUCCAACCUGCCGUCUACUCUUGGACAGCCUUCUGAAAGGAAGAUUAAUACAAGAUGGCGUCACGAGUCCGCAUGUUCACAUGAUUAAAGGUAUUCCGGUAGACGAUGGGGAUGCGUUCCAUUAGAUAGUAGGCGGGGUAACGGCCCACCUAGUCUUCGAUGGAUAGGGGUUCUGAGAGGAAGGUCCCCCACAUUGGAACUGAGACACGGUCCAAACUCCUACGGGAGGCAGCAGUGAGGAAUAUUGGUCAAUGGGCGAGAGCCUGAACCAGCCAAGUAGCGUGAAGGAUGACUGCCCUAUGGGUUGUAAACUUCUUUUAUAAAGGAAUAAAGUCGGGUAUGCAUACCCGUUUGCAUGUACUUUAUGAAUAAGGAUCGGCUAACUCCGUGCCAGCCGCCGCGGUAA